AUGUUGGACAUCCCUGAAUUAAAGUUUUCAACUCAGGGCAAUCCAUUGAGUCUCCUGGGGUUAUGGCAACCAGUUGUUAAGCAAAUCCAGCUUAACAUCCAUCACCCUUCCAAUGCUUUGGCAGCUGAGAUUUUUGGAAUCUGUGCUGAAAACGUGAAGGCCUCCUACAGUUCUCCUCCAUGGAUUAUCCCAAAGGGGUCUGCAAGACUGGGUCAGACAAAAUAAAGAUGGUGGCCAUGAUCAUGUGAUCCCACCCUCCCUUUUAUCAUGCAUCUGGACAUUUUUGACCCUUCCCCCAGGACUCCACUGGAUCUCUCCAUCUCUACUUGACUUUUACAGCUGAACAAAUGCAGUUGCCACAAAAUUCCCAGGCAGAGAUUAAAAAUUGCGUAACUGUCCAACAAUCCCUCCAAACGGAUUGAGAAUAAUUUUGAUCAAUCGGGAGCAUCAAGUGGAACAGCUGAAUCAAAUUGAUGAGUUCUGUUGAAGCUAUUAAGUACAACUGACUGCCUUUCAUAGCCCCUACUCUCUCUAAAUCAAUCCAGCUCUGAUUUGGAGAUUCGGUCUGGAUGUCCAAAUUUAACUCUCUGUUUUCAAAUCAAUCGGGAUGCUAAAAUCAUAUCUGAACUCAUUUUCAUGCCCCUUGGUACAUCCAGAGAAUUCCUUGCUAGUAUGAAAAUAAUCUUGCUUUCUUUCCUGUGGCAGAGAUACUGCUAUUUUCAUUCUACUGGGAUUUAAAUAAAAUAAAAUAAAAUAAACUGACUAUUCUAAACCAUCCUGAUUCAACCUCCUCCUUACCUCCGAUUGAACAAAUAGGAUUUCUUUGUGGAGGGGAAGGGAAAAUGGGUGGAGAUAGGAGAUUUAUAACCCAGACGAUCUGCAUUUGUGGGUGUUACGCUGUGUGUGAGCAAGAAUCUUUCGCUUUUAAAUUGUCGUUUCCAGGAAAACGAACCAUCAGAUGCCUCUGCUUUCUAGACUAACAGUCUCUGGUCUUAAUGGAAAAAAAUAUCCUUCAAGGCAGACACAAGGGGUUUUCUUACAGAUUUUAUGAUUAGAGCUCCCCUACUUCUUUGUACCAUUUCCAGAUUUGAGGAAAUUAGACAUAUUCUUGACAUUUAGACUUAACAAAGACAUCAAGACAUCGGAGUGACUUCAAAGGGGAAUCAGAUAAUAGGAUGAAUGAGAGAGGGGGGAAAAACACACACACAUGUACAAAAAUGAAGCCAGACAGGGUGGAAAAAUUAUUCCCUUGGAUCGAUCUGAGCAAAUUCAGCUUGCUAAGUACAUUCAAGCUGAUUUAAAGGUACCUCGUUGCAAAGGGGCCUCAAAACUAGAGCAGAUAUGACAGAGAUAGAAUAUAAAUUUUUUUUUAAAAAUCAAAUCUCUAGGGCUCCCUUGGCUCUCGAGCAUCUCAGCUGACCUGAAAAAAGAUUUUCUCUGAUCUCAUUCUUUUAGCAGCCGCGGGUUAUACAAAAACAUAAAAUCAGUAGCUUUGCAAGACAAGGACUUACCUUCAGCACAUCUCUGUUUGCAAGAUUUGGUUACUGCACUCUGACAAUACAGGGGGUCCUCGACUUAUUGAGCCCAAAAUUUCCAUUGCUAACCAAGACAAUUAAGUGAGUUUUGCUCCGGUUCAUGACCGUUAUUGUCACAGUACUUAAGUGAAUCCCUGCAGUGCCUAAGUUAGUCACACGGCCGUUAAGCGAAUCCGGCUUCCCCAUUGACUUUGCUUAUCAGAAGGUCGCAAAAGGGGAUCACAUGACCCCCUGGACACUGCAACUGUCAUAAAUACGAACCAGUGGCCAAGCACCCAAAUUUUGAUCAUGUGACCCUGGGGAUGCUGCAACGGUUGUAAGCAUGAAAAAUGGUCAUAGGUUUUGAGUGCCGUUGUAACUUUGAAUGACCGCUAAACAAAUGGUUGUAAGUCAAGGACUACCUGUGAAGAUGUUGGAUGGGACCUUGGCGGUCUUGUAAUCCAACUCCCUGCUCAAGCAGAAGACCUUAUAUCGGUGAUGGCUAACCUUUUCGGCGCGGAGUGCCCGAAGCGCAUGCACAUGCACAUCCCCAAAAUGCAAUAUCCGCGUGUCCCCCACCC
RNAcentral lists this long non-coding RNA (2095 nucleotides) under Naja naja (Indian cobra). RNAcentral describes it as "lncRNA (ENSNNAG00000018934.1)". The record is from RNAcentral. Lineage: Eukaryota; Metazoa; Chordata; Lepidosauria; Squamata; Elapidae.